This 327-nucleotide ribosomal RNA is filed under the name uncultured eukaryote. Its description in RNAcentral is "partial 18S ribosomal RNA". It matches the Rfam family "Eukaryotic small subunit ribosomal RNA", at positions 1470 to 1796 of the family's 1831-position model. The record is from RNAcentral.
CCCUUAGAUGUUCUGGGCCGCACGCGCGCUACACUGACGAAUGCAACGAGCUUAUAACCUUGGCCGAAAGGUCUGGGUAAUCUCCAAAUUUCGUCGUGAUGGGGAUAGAUUAUUGCAAUUAUUAAUCUUCAACGAGGAAUGCCUAGUAAGCGCAAGUCAUCAGCUUGCGUUGAUUACGUCCCUGCCCUUUGUACACACCGCCCGUCGCUCCUACCGAUUGAAUGGUCCGGUGAAGCGUUCGGACCGUGGCCUUUGGACGGUCCGCCGUCUGUUGGCUGCGGGAAGUUCGUUAAACCUUAUCAUUUAGAGGAAGGUGAAGUCGUAACA